GUAGUGGAACUACUGAGCUAAAUCCCUGGCCCCUGUGUGUUAUAAUUUUUAAAAAGAAAUACAGUGAAUGCCGCUGCUGAGUGGCAUUCAGUGGAAAUGCUAGCUUCUAAAAGCUAUGGUGGUGUAUUCUCACUGACUUCACUCACUGGAUCAGGCACUGCAGGACUUCUGGUUCUUCCCUAAAGUCAAAAUGACCAUGAAAGGUAAAUGUUUUGAAUCAAUUCACAACAUGAAGGCAGCCAUGACAAUGCAACUAAAAAUACAAAAGAGGACUUAUAUUCACUGUACAUUUUGAUCACCGUGUGUGUGCAUGUGCGCGCAAGUGUGUGUGUUUUAGCACAAGUGCUGCUUAUCUGAAGUCCAAAUUUACCUUCACAUCCUGCGUUUAUCAGGCAACCCUUGAGGAGGAGCACUUGGCGGGCUCCGGAGGUGGGCAGAGGGUGCCAGAGAGCCAGAGCUGGCACUGGCAGACACAGAGUGGCCAGCAGACCCUGACCACCAGCUCCCUGCCCUGGGCUCCUGUGACACUCAGCCACCUGCAGCUGCAGCCCCCGAGGCCUUGAGCAGCUUCCCAGCCCUCCCUUGGGUCCUGCUUGGCAGGCCCUGUAUUUAUUUAUGUUUUUAAUGAAAGCAAAUUAAGAUUCGCUGACUCUUGAGAACUGCAACCUGAUUGUUCGCAUGAUAAGCAGAGGCACCUGGCUUUCCUCUCCGCCAGGCUGGGGGGUCACCUGCUAGCUUUCCAGGAGGCUGGUUCCCACAGGCCGCUUUUCAAUCCAUCAUCAAAUCUUUAUCAAAUGUCUCAGCACGAAGGGUGGCUGAGCCAGCUGGGCUCCCUGCCUGAAUCACUGCGGUCUCCUUGGGGUGCUGGGGGCAGACAACAGCACUAUCUUCAAUGCAGCACAGCCACCAGGUAGGGAUGACUGUCCCCACACAGCAGAGGGGAAACUGAGGCUUAGGACGGUGAGGAAGAGCACAGGGCUGAUUUGUUGAUCUUUGAUUCCAACACAGAUCUCUCAGACAGACCCAAGAUUUCUCCUCAGCACCAGGAGGAUGUUACAAAUUCUGCCCCAAGCUGGGUGUGGUGGCUCACAGGCCUGUAAUCCCAGCACUUUGGGAGGCUGAGUCCUGAAGAUGGAACCUAGGGCCUCCCAAGCACUCUACUGCUGAGCGGCCCCUCACCCCUUAAGGUUUGCCUUGUGUUUGAAUAUUGCUACUCUGUGACCUCAGAGUCACAAAGCGACUGGUAUGUGUAUGAUAAUGAAAUCUGUGAACCUUCCGAAUCCACCUUUGAAAUGGGUAAGAGCUCCAUUAAAAACCAUGGGUGCCGGGACCCUGCUAAAUGAUUCCCUAAAGAAGGUGGGAUGGAGGUGUCCUUAGGAGUUAGCCUUCCAGAGAGCCGCCCUGCCCCCAGGUUGCUGGGGAGAGGGGAGCACUUCUCUGUGGACGCACUUGGUGUGAAUCCGCUGCCUCCUCCUGGGGGGGCUCAGUUACAGCCCCACCCCCUGCAGGCUUGGGCCGGAACAACCAGGCGCUCUGCUCCUCUGGAGGCAGGGUUGGCUCCACGGGCUCUGGGGAGCUCAGGCAUCCUGGGUCCAGGAACAGCAGGCCCAGAACCCAGUGUGAGCUGCUGGUCUCUAGGUCUCUCUGUCAUUUGCCCCUUGCCACCUUGCCAUGGGGUCGUACAGGGAAACGGCCAUCUGUGGCUCCUGAACUUGUUUUAGGUCCUGAUAACAGUGAGGGUCCCUUGUCCUUGUGUCCCCUACCUCCUGGUGCUGGGGACGGAACCCAGGGCUUCAUGCUCACCCAGCAAGUGUUCUGGCUAAGGCCACACCCUUAAACCCCAGUGGUGAGAGAAAUUGCAAAAGAUUUCAUUAAGAUCAAACGAAGGAACCUUUAAAAAUAUACCAAUAAUUGACAUCCCCU
This is a long non-coding RNA of Heterocephalus glaber (naked mole-rat), 1923 nucleotides long. Lineage: Eukaryota; Metazoa; Chordata; Mammalia; Rodentia; Bathyergidae. The record is from Ensembl.